GUAAAAAAGAGAAAAGAACAAUAAAAAAAGAAAAAGUCAAUUGGAAAGGACGCUGGACGCUGUGUUUUUCUGAUUUGUUAUGAAAUACGUGCUUUAUUGUUGAUGCGAAAAUUUUUACUGUGCGAAGCGUCUCAAAACAACAAAACAAAACCCGGCGGAAACCGGAAAGGUGUGAGGUGCAAAAUGUGACACACGUCCUGCAGGGCAGAUGCUAUUAUAUGGAGUAAGAGGAGCGAGCAACUACGGCGAGCACGACGCGCAAAGUCCCCUGGGCGCGCCCAGACUUCGGCCGAGAGAGAUAAAGCGACCAUGCUGAAGCUGUCCCAUAAGCCAUCUGACUGUUAAUUACGGCGGGAUCGACCCGUCAACCCCUGCAAGCGCGACGACGACAUAUAGGUUGCGCAAAGGAGGUGGCAGGUCGUUCCAACACCGUGUGGCAGCAAAUCUGAAAGAUC
Long non-coding RNA from Ostrinia furnacalis (Asian corn borer), 455 nucleotides. RefSeq lists it as uncharacterized. The transcript is spliced from 3 exons. The record is from RefSeq and is a predicted model, not a curated record. NCBI's taxonomy places the organism in Eukaryota, Metazoa, Arthropoda, Insecta, Lepidoptera, Crambidae.